UCCAGACUCCUACGGGAGGCAGCAGUGGGGGAUAUUGCACAAUGGGGGAAACCCUGAUGCAGCGACGCCGCGUGAGUGAAGAAGUAUUUCGGUAUGUAAAGCUCUAUCAGCAGGGAAGAAGAUGACAGUACCUGAGUAAGAAGCCCCGGCUAACUACGUGCCAGCAGCCGCGGUAAUACGUAGGAGGCAAGCGUUAUCCGGAUUUACUGGGUGUAAAGGGAGCGUAGGCGGCCUGGCAAGUCUGAUGUGAAAUACCGGGGCUCAACCCCGGGGCUGCAUUGGAAACUGGCAGGCUGGAGUGCCGGAGAGGCAGGCGGAAUUCCUAGUGUAGCGGUGAAAUGCGUAGAUAUUAGGAGGAACACCAGUGGCGAAGGCGGCCUGCUGGACGGUGACUGACGCUGAGGCUCGAAAGCGUGGGGAGCAAACAGGAUUAGAUACCCUGGUACUU
This 448-nucleotide ribosomal RNA is filed under the name uncultured bacterium. RNAcentral's name for it is "bacterial SSU rRNA". It matches the Rfam family "Bacterial small subunit ribosomal RNA", at positions 330 to 795 of the family's 1533-position model. The record is from RNAcentral.